Molecule: long non-coding RNA, 798 nt
Organism: Carassius carassius (crucian carp)
Lineage: Eukaryota; Metazoa; Chordata; Actinopteri; Cypriniformes; Cyprinidae
Exons: 5
Source: RefSeq, a predicted model, not a curated record
UUAUUAACUACCCAUCCUUAAUCUAGAAAACUACAAGAGUAACAUUAACCAACAUUGACCCAGUUAACUCCCACUAGAGUUACAUUCAACUCCCUGGCAGUUCCAGACAAAAUCAUUCUGUGCUAGAGGCCUUAGCGACGCCUACGUUUUGCUAAUUAAUAACGGCGGGCACGAGUUCCCUCAUUCAAAAUAAUCCAUAUUCAUCAAACGCUUAAAACGAAGUCCUUGUUCACCCUGCAGCCUUGUGUCUGCUAUCCAGAUGGACUCAUUACAACGAUUCCUACACAGCUGCCAGGCAUCUGCAGAUGAAAGGAAGGGGCUGACGGAGAAUUGCCAUAUGACCAAUCGAUACUGAGAUGACAGUAGCAGGAUGUUAUGCGUGUUGCUGUCAGACACGGAAGCAGCGCGUCAGCACAGCGGGCUUUUCCAGGGGAUGAACCCACGAGAAUGGAGGGUUCCGGAGAGCAUGUGCACUGUGUUGGUGCACCUUACGAGAGAAUAAGACCAGCAAGCAAGGGAACACAUUUCUGUCACUAACAAAGUGGAUGGUGAACAAAGGUGGUGGCCAGGUUUUGGAGCAGCACCUGGGUUUUGCAGAUGGCUAUAUAUUUUUCCCAAAUAUGUUUCUGUUGCCUUAAGAUUCUUUGUGAGGAUAAAUCCAGAUUAUAACAACAUAAUAUACUCCAAAAGGUCAUAAGACAGGAGAAAUGGUGAAGAUGCACUGUUUCAGCAUUGGAAGACUAUAUUUUUAAGUGUUAUAUGUGUAAUGUUUUAAAUAAAGAAUUUGAAAUAUUGUAA